This 1170-nucleotide ribosomal RNA is filed under the name Shigella flexneri. RNAcentral's name for it is "bacterial SSU rRNA". It matches the Rfam family "Bacterial small subunit ribosomal RNA", at positions 15 to 1175 of the family's 1533-position model. Lineage: Bacteria; Pseudomonadati; Pseudomonadota; Gammaproteobacteria; Enterobacterales; Enterobacteriaceae. The record is from RNAcentral.
GAUCAUGGCUCAGAUUGAACGCUGGCGGCAGGCCUAACACAUGCAAGUCGAACGGUAACAGGAAGCAGCUUGCUGUUUCGCUGACGAGUGGCGGACGGGUGAGUAAUGUCUGGGAAACUGCCUGAUGGAGGGGGAUAACUACUGGAAACGGUAGCUAAUACCGCAUAACGUCGCAAGACCAAAGAGGGGGACCUUCGGGCCUCUUGCCAUCGGAUGUGCCCAGAUGGGAUUAGCUAGUAGGUGGGGUAACGGCUCACCUAGGCGACGAUCCCUAGCUGGUCUGAGAGGAUGACCAGCCACACUGGAACUGAGACACGGUCCAGACUCCUACGGGAGGCAGCAGUGGGGAAUAUUGCACAAUGGGCGCAAGCCUGAUGCAGCCAUGCCGCGUGUAUGAAGAAGGCCUUCGGGUUGUAAAGUACUUUCAGCGGGGAGGAAGGGAGUAAAGUUAAUACCUUUGCUCAUUGACGUUACCCGCAGAAGAAGCACCGGCUAACUCCGUGCCAGCAGCCGCGGUAAUACGGAGGGUGCAAGCGUUAAUCGGAAUUACUGGGCGUAAAGCGCACGCAGGCGGUUUGUUAAGUCAGAUGUGAAAUCCCCGGGCUCAACCUGGGAACUGCAUCUGAUACUGGCAAGCUUGAGUCUCGUAGAGGGGGGUAGAAUUCCAGGUGUAGCGGUGAAAUGCGUAGAGAUCUGGAGGAAUACCGGUGGCGAAGGCGGCCCCCUGGACGAAGACUGACGCUCAGGUGCGAAAGCGUGGGGAGCAAACAGGAUUAGAUACCCUGGUAGUCCACGCCGUAAACGAUGUCGACUUGGAGGUUGUGCCCUUGAGGCGUGGCUUCCGGAGCUAACGCGUUAAGUCGACCGCCUGGGGAGUACGGCCGCAAGGUUAAAACUCAAAUGAAUUGACGGGGGCCCGCACAAGCGGUGGAGCAUGUGGUUUAAUUCGAUGCAACGCGAAGAACCUUACCUGGUCUUGACAUCCACGGAAGUUUUCAGAGAUGGAUUUGUGCCUUCGGGAACUGUGAGACAGGUGCUGCAUGGCUGUCGUCAGCUCGUGUUGUGAAAUGUUGGGUUAAGUCCCGCAACGAGCGCAACCCUUAUCCUUUGUUGCCAGCGGUCCGGCCGGGAACUCAAAGGAGACUGCCAGUGAUAAACUGGAGGAAGGUG